GUUUGAACCUUCAACGUGCGUGGGUCAAAUGAUUGUUUAGGUGACUAGAAGCUGCCGAUGAGCUGCCAGUCCGGAUGGCAGCUAUCAACACGGCAAGGGCCUGCAGCCGCAUCAGCCCUCCCCCCGUUCCUCUACUGCCAUUGGAGACAGGAUGCUUUGUAAAAGAUCGUUUCUUUUCUUCAGUGGGAGCUCAUGAAGGUGGCACUGUGCACAGAGGGAUAGAGUGGCUAACAGUGAGCUGCCCAA
This is a long non-coding RNA of Ixodes scapularis (black-legged tick), 246 nucleotides long. RefSeq lists it as uncharacterized. The record is from RefSeq and is a predicted model, not a curated record. NCBI's taxonomy places the organism in Eukaryota, Metazoa, Arthropoda, Arachnida, Ixodida, Ixodidae. The transcript is spliced from 3 exons.